UUGUUUUGGAUAUCCGUGGUGUCUGGGCGGUUUUCAUGCACAUUGACUAAAUCCACGGGAUAUCUGUCAUCUCCCACCAGCAACAAAUAUCAGAUAUUAGGUAAUAUUGUCAACCAAGUCUAGGACAGAUGGGAAGAAUCUCCAAGUGUUUUUUUUGUCUCUACUGGGAUUUGAACUUGAGCCAUUAGGUUCUCAACCAACUUAAUUCUCCACUAGGUCCCAACCUUGGAUGCAACUGGGAAAUGGGAAUGGGUACUGGGUGCUGUUGAGUCCCACAUCUUGGUGUUAGAGUUAGGACCAUCUCAAUCAUUAUUAACCCGAUGUGGAGCGCCCAUCUUAUUAUGUCUAUGUAAGGGUUAAUGAUUUCAGAAUCGUAAACUUAAUGAUUUUAACACACAAUUCGAUUAUCAAUAAGUCAGUCAAGAAACAAAUCUGAAGCUGCCAUAGCUUUAUUUUUGACGUGAAUUAAGUGGAUGUACUUGAUUUGUAUCUUGAGAAAAACAAUUUCUCUCCCUUUUUCUUAGUGUGUUCUUUCAGAACAAAUAUGGAUGGAGUUCCCCUAUUCUUCUUAAAGGAAGAAAGAGAACCAACAGUUAAUUAACACAUCACUCCCACUCUCCAUCAAAUUGGGGUAGUGGGAAGCUGUUAGCACACCCUUUUAGUCUAUCAACAGUUUAUUUUUGGAAUAUUAAAUCAAAAGGUAGAUUAUUUUAGCAACUAUUAGUUAUGUUAUUUCUAUUUUUAUUAGGCAGUUAUUAGUAUGACUUAUCUAUUAAUUAUGUUGUUUUUAAUUCUCUGUAGAUAGCAAUAAGGAGGUUAUUCCUCCACUUUCUCAUUUCCUUCUUACUUGGGGUGGUGGUUCAUCCACCAAUUCUAUUUACAUUUAUUUAACUUUAAUGUAAAGGUAACCAGAUAAUAUUUUAGUUUUUGAGUACUUGAACACAAGAGAUUGCAGGUUCUCUCUUAGUGAACCAACGCCAUAGGUCCUAGAAAGAAAAUAUUAGAUUUCGUCUUCCAACGUCCCAUAACUAGAUCCUUAUAUGGAACCGUAACAAUUUGGUAUCAGAUUCGGGGGUUAUGGGAGAUAAAAUUCAACAUCAAUUGGCAUAAUUGGUAAACUUGUUCCAAGAAUAACGUGCUGCA
Molecule: long non-coding RNA, 1143 nt
Filed under: Capsicum annuum
Lineage: Eukaryota; Viridiplantae; Streptophyta; Magnoliopsida; Solanales; Solanaceae
Description: long non-coding RNA (CANN_LNC020694)
Source: RNAcentral